GCAUGGCUAGCUCAGUGGAUAGAGCAUGAGACUCUUAAUCUCAGAGCCGUAGGUUUAGCCCAAUGUUGGACA
Podarcis lilfordi (Lilford's wall lizard) is the source of this 72-nucleotide non-coding RNA. The record is from the annotation of a GenBank genome assembly. NCBI's taxonomy places the organism in Eukaryota, Metazoa, Chordata, Lepidosauria, Squamata, Lacertidae.